GCCGAGGUCGCAUAGCCUGGCCAUUGCGGUAGAUUGCUAAUCUACUGUGCGAAAGCACACGGGAGUUCAAAUCUCCCCCUCGGCG
RNAcentral lists this transfer RNA (85 nucleotides) under Candidatus Woesearchaeota archaeon. Its description in RNAcentral is "tRNA-Ser". It matches the Rfam family "tRNA". Rfam says of the family: Transfer RNA (tRNA) molecules are approximately 80 nucleotides in length. The record is from RNAcentral. Lineage: Archaea; Nanobdellati; Candidatus Woesearchaeota.